RNAcentral lists this ribosomal RNA (500 nucleotides) under uncultured bacterium. RNAcentral describes it as "partial 16S ribosomal RNA". It matches the Rfam family "Bacterial small subunit ribosomal RNA", at positions 30 to 523 of the family's 1533-position model. The record is from RNAcentral.
AUUGAACGCUGGCGGCAUGCCUUACACAUGCAAGUCGAACGGCAGCACGGGAGCAAUCCUGGUGGCGAGUGGCGAACGGGUGAGUAAAGUAUCGGAACGUGCCCAGUCGUGGGGGAUAACGUAGCGAAAGUUACGCUAAUACCGCAUACGAUCUAUGGAUGAAAGCGGGGGAUCGCAAGACCUCGCGCGAUUGGAGCGGCCGAUAUCAGAUUAGGUAGUUGGUGGGGUAAAGGCUCCCCAAGCCGACGCUCUGUAGCUGGUCUGAGAGGACGUCCGGCCGCACUGGGACUGAGAACCGGCCCAGACUCCUACGGGAGGCAGGAGUGGGGAAUUUUGGACAAUGAGCGCAAGCCUGAUCCAUCCAUGCCGCGUGCAGGAUGAAGGCCUUCGGUUUGUAAACUGCUUUUGUACGGAACGAAAAGGUUUGACUUAAUACGUCGGACUCAUGACGGUACCGUAAGAAUAAGCACCGGCUAACUACGUGCCAGCCGCCGCUGUAA